UUUCCGUAGGUGAACCUGCGGAAGGAUCAUUAACGAAUAACUAUGGUGUCUUGGUUGUAGCUGGCUCCUCGGAGCAAUGUGCACGCCCGCCAUUUUUAUCUUUCCACCUGUGCACCGACUGUAGGUCUGGAUGACUCUCACACUCCGGUGCGGAUGCGAGGAUUGCUCUCGGGCUCUCCUCGAAUUUCCAGGCUCUACGUCUUUUUACACACCCCAAACGUAUGAUACAGAAUGUAGUCAAUGGGCUUGAUCGCCUAUAAAACACUAUACAACUUUCAGCAACGGAUCUCUUGGCUCUC
RNAcentral lists this unclassified non-coding RNA (299 nucleotides) under plant metagenome. RNAcentral describes it as "partial contains small subunit ribosomal RNA, internal transcribed spacer 1, and 5.8S ribosomal RNA". The record is from RNAcentral.